GAAAUAGCUCAGUCGGUUAGAGUGCUGGUCUGUCACGCCAGAAGUCGCGGGUUCGAACUCUAUACA
This is a non-coding RNA of Nicotiana tabacum (common tobacco), 66 nucleotides long. The record is from the annotation of a RefSeq genome assembly. NCBI's taxonomy places the organism in Eukaryota, Viridiplantae, Streptophyta, Magnoliopsida, Solanales, Solanaceae.